AGAGUUUGAUCAUGGCUCAGAACGUACGCUGGCGGCACGCCUAAUACAUGCAAGUCGAACGAAGUAGCAAUACUUAGUGGCAGACGGGUGAGUAACAUGUGGGUAUCUUCCCUUUGGUGAGGAAUAACACGAGGAAACUUGUGCUAAUACCUCAUAAGUCUUUACAGAGAAAGCUUUAUGCGCCAUUGGAUGAGCCUGCACUUGAUUAGUUUGUUGGUGGGGUAAUGGCCUACCAAGACAAUGAUCAAUAGCUGAUUUGAGAGGAUGAUCAGCCACAUUGGGACUGAGACACGGCCCAAACUCCUACGGGAGGCAGCAGUAGGGAAUCUUGCACAAUGGAGGAAACUCUGAUGCAGCGAUGCCGCGUGAGUGAAGAAGGCCUUUGGGUUGUAAAGCUCUUUCGUCGGGGAAGAAAAUGACUGUACCCGAAUAAGAAGGUCCGGCUAACUUCGUGCCAGCAGCCGCGGUAAUACGAAGGGACCUAGCGUAGUUCGGAAUUACUGGGCUUAAAGAGUUCGUAGGUGGUUGAAAAAGUUGGUGGUGAAAUCCCAGAGCUUAACUCUGGAACUGCCAUCAAAACUUUUCAGCUAGAGUAUGAUAGAGGAAAGCAGAAUUUCUAGUGUAGAGGUGAAAUUCGUAGAUAUUAGAAAGAAUACCAAUUGCGAAGGCAGCUUUCUGGAUCAUUACUGACACUGAGGAACGAAAGCAUGGGUAGCGAAGAGGAUUAGAUACCCUCGUAGUCCAUGCCGUAAACGAUGUGUGUUAGACGUUGGAAAUUUAUUUUCAGUGUCGCAGGGAAACCGAUAAACACACCGCCUGGGGAGUACGACCGCAAGGUUAAAACUCAAAUGAAUUGACGGGGACCCGCACAAGUAGUGGAGCAUGUGGUUUAAUUCGAAGAUACGCGCAGAACCUUACCAACACUUGACAUGUUCGUCGCGACUCUAAGAGAUUAGAGUUUUCGGUUCGGCCGGACGAAACACAGGUGCUGCAUGGCUGUCGUCAGCUCGUGUCGUGAGAUGUUGGGUUAAGUCCCGCAACGAGCGCAACCCUCACUUUUAGUUGCCAUCAUUAAGUUGGGCACUCUGAAAGAACUGCCAGUGAUAAGCUGGAGGAAGGUGGGGAUGACGUCAAGUCCUCAUGGCCCUUACGUGUUGGGCUACACACGUGCUACAAUGGUAUCUACAACAGGAAGCAAAACAGCGAUGUUAAGCAAAUCCCAAAAAGAUACCUCAGUUCGGAUUGCACUCUGCAACUCGAGUGCAUGAAGCUGGAAUUACUAGUAAUCGUGGAUCAGCGUGCCACGGUGAAUACGUUCCCGGGUCUUGUACACACCGCCCGUCACACCAUGGGAGUUGGUUCUACCUUAAGGCAAGGUUUCAAACCCUUGACCACGGUAUAGUCAGCGACUGGGGUGAAGUCGUAACAAGGUAGCCGUAGGGGAACCUGCGGCUG
RNAcentral lists this ribosomal RNA (1455 nucleotides) under marine metagenome. RNAcentral describes it as "bacterial SSU rRNA". It matches the Rfam family "Bacterial small subunit ribosomal RNA". The record is from RNAcentral.